AAACCAAAAACCUCGGGGGAAAACACCCGGCACCUUUCGCAUCCUUCCAACCCCGGCGCGGCCGCUACCGCGGAAUGUGCGCGGAGGCGGAGGACCGCGCCCGCGGAGGGCAGCGCCGCCGGCCGGUAUCUGCCCGCCCCGGGAGCCGCAGGCAGGAUUUGCGAUUCUUCUAAGAGGGGUUUGGCUACUGAAAGGCUCAGGCCAGGAGAAUGGAAAAUGCCUUCAGCUUCCAAGAUUGUUGUUUUAUGGAUAAUGGGAUGUGAGCCUUUCCGGCACUACCUCAUCCGCCGUACAAAGAACUGGAUCCUGUCUCCUCAUCUGCCUGCUCUUCUGGUGUGCAGUGACCAUGUCCAAACACUGCUUCACCAUUGUCACCUACCAGUCAAUGCACAGAGGAUCCCUUAUCACACACAGGCCAGAUUUCAAUGGGAAGAGAUUGCUGUGAGGACCUGAAAAUUAUUGAUGUAGGCUAAGGUCAUCCUAAUCUUUCCAGUAAAUCUACAUCCAUAGGACUUCAAAAGAAGGAUUUAAUAAAACAACUCCACAGCCUGAUGGAAGACCAUCUCCACUUCAGUUGCUCCCAGAUGGCUGGAAAGACAGCGUAGACCUGAGCAGCCCUGAGUUGCGCCUGUGCCCUGGUGGGUUUGGAGGAACCUCAACAAGACACAGUACGCCAAGACGUGGCCAAAGGAGCAAUUGUGUUGGGGUGGUUUGCAACCGUUGAGGUCUCCCUUGUGAAGACGGGCAAAUCCAGCCUGUAAGGUACCGAUACCCAGGGCACUGGCUAUCCGUCACGGGUACAAAACUGGCCCCCAAGGCUGCACAGCUUUGCAGCAGACGGCUCCACUGUGGCUCUGCCUCACCAAGUCCUGGACACCUCGAAGGAUGGCAAUUUCACUGCUCCACUGAGUGCUGCAUGCUGCACUAUGCUCUUGCUAGGAAAAUUUUUCCUACUGUCCAAGGAAAUAAAUCUUUACACAUUCUCCAGACAUAAACUAAUGAUUCAGAGUGAUCAGAAUAAAAUUACUUAACUAAUGUGUUAUCUGAAGUUGGAAGAGGCACGUUUCAGUUGCAGUAUGACAAACCAGACAAAGGCAGAGGGGAUAUUAUUAGCUAGGCACUGUCUCACAGGAUUAGAGGUAUGAGAUAUAAUACAUAUAAGGACCCAAGGGUGAGAUUAUCUCAGGAUAAUACACCCUUUAGGUUUUUAAAUUGCAGCCAAAGCAAUCAAACCUGUUACCAUAGCAUUCAUUUUAAUGCACAGAUAAAUUUGUAGCUCUUGUUUAUAUAGCUCAUCCUCUGGAGGCACUAAUAUGAUUCCCUUUAAAACUCCAGUUAAUGAGAAAAUAAUAGAGCAUUGUAGAUAUAAGCAAAUUUUUUUUUCCACUGUCACUGUCAUCAUCUUUUAUACAGCCAGACGGCUCUUUGAAAGAAUAAGUUGGAUUUAUUUUAUGUACCACAAAACCUUUAAAAACCUUUCUUUACUCCAAGCUUUCCGAUUCCAGCCUAAAGCCAAAAAUACUUGCUGUCUAAAUAUUUUUAUAAAUCAGUAUAUCAUCCAUAAAUCUUACCUUAUCCCUAAUAGGAAAUUUAAAAUUGUAACUCUUAAAACUUCACCUUGGCAACAUACAUUCUUAUUUUAUUGGCUUUCCUGGACAGAAAUCACUGAUGAGAUACUGUACGUGGCCAGGGAAUAGGGAUUGCAUAUCAGUUGCUGAGUGUAGUGAGCUGUGUAAUGAAGCCAUGUUUGUUUACUUUCCUUUGUAUACAGCACUGCAGUAAAUCUCCAGUCGUUUUCAA
Molecule: long non-coding RNA, 1800 nt
Organism: Harpia harpyja (harpy eagle)
Lineage: Eukaryota; Metazoa; Chordata; Aves; Accipitriformes; Accipitridae
Exons: 2
Source: RefSeq, a predicted model, not a curated record